GACGAACGCUGGCGGCGUGCCUAAUACAUGCAAGUUGAGCGAUGAGGAUUGGUGCUUGCACCAAUGUGAAGAGCAGCGAACGGGUGAGUAACGCGUGGGUAAUCUGCCUUUGAGCGGGGGACAACAUUUGGAAACGAAUGCUAAUACCGCAUAACAACUUUAAACAUAAGUUUUAAGUUUGAAAGAUGCAAUUGCAUCACUCAAAGAUGAUCCCGCGUUGUAUUAGCUAGUUGGUGAGGUAAAGGCUCAACAAGGCGAUGAUACAUAGCCGACCUGAGAGGGGGAUCGGCCCAAUUGGGACCGAGAACAGGCCCAAACUCCCACGGGAGGGAGCAGUAGGGAAUUUUUGGCAAUGGACGAAAGUCUGACCGAGCAAAGCCGCGUGAGUGAAGAAGGUUCUCGGAUUGUAAAAACCUGUUGGUAGGGAAGAAAGUUGGGUGGAGGGGAAAGCGCAUCAAGUGACGGUAACUAACCAGAAAGGGACGGCUAACUACGUG
RNAcentral lists this ribosomal RNA (497 nucleotides) under uncultured bacterium. Its description in RNAcentral is "partial 16S ribosomal RNA". It matches the Rfam family "Bacterial small subunit ribosomal RNA", at positions 28 to 507 of the family's 1533-position model. The record is from RNAcentral.